UAUCUCCACUUCAUUUAGUUGUUUUUCUGAGGUUUUAUCUUGUUCCUUCAUCUUGUACAUAGCCCUCUGCCUCUUGAUCUUGUUUAUCUUUCUGUGAAUGUGGUUUUUGUUCCACAGGCUGCAGGAUUGUAUUUCUUGCUUCUGCUUUCUUCCCUCUGGUGGAUGAGGCUAUCUAAGAGGCUUGUGCAAGUUUCCUGAUGGGAGGGACUGGUGUUGGAUAGAGCUGGCUGUUGCACUGGUGGGCAGAGUUCAGUAAAACUUUAAUCUGGUUGUCUGCUGAUGGGUGGGGCUGGGUUCCCUCCCUGUUGGUUGUUUGGCCUGAGGCGACCCAACACUGGAGCCUACCUGGGCUCUUUGCUGGGCCUAAUGGCGGACUCUGCGAGGGCUAAUGCCAAGGAGUACUUCCCAGAACUUCUGCUGCCAGUGUCCUUGUCCCCACGGUGAGCCACAGCCACUGCCCACCUCUGCAGGAGACCCUCCAACACUAGCAACUUCUCCUUUGUCUCUGGAUGUGGAGUAUCUUUUUUGGUGAGUUCCAGUGUCCUCCUGUCGAUGAUUGUCCAGCAGCUAGCUGUGAUUCUGGUGUUCUCACAAGAGGGAGUGAGAGCACGUCCUUCUACUCUGCCAUCUUGGUUCCUAAUCUCAGCCAUUUUUAAAAAAUAACUUUUCUUUUUUUUCCUUUAAUAAAUGUAUUUAUUUAUUUAU
Long non-coding RNA from Orcinus orca (killer whale), 705 nucleotides. RefSeq lists it as uncharacterized. The record is from RefSeq and is a predicted model, not a curated record. The transcript is spliced from 2 exons. Lineage: Eukaryota; Metazoa; Chordata; Mammalia; Artiodactyla; Delphinidae.